Molecule: long non-coding RNA, 68 nt
Organism: Xiphophorus hellerii (green swordtail)
Lineage: Eukaryota; Metazoa; Chordata; Actinopteri; Cyprinodontiformes; Poeciliidae
Exons: 3
Source: RefSeq, a predicted model, not a curated record
UAGUAUUAGCUAACUUUAAAGAAGGCUAAUAGGUUGAUUUGUGACAAUAACACUAUAACAUUGUCAUA